RNAcentral lists this transfer RNA (81 nucleotides) under Lobianchia gemellarii. RNAcentral's name for it is "tRNA-Leu (UUR)". It matches the Rfam family "tRNA". From Rfam's summary of the family: Transfer RNA (tRNA) molecules are approximately 80 nucleotides in length. Their secondary structure includes four short double-helical elements and three loops (D, anti-codon, and T loops). The record is from RNAcentral. Lineage: Eukaryota; Metazoa; Chordata; Actinopteri; Myctophiformes; Myctophidae.
GUUAAGGUGGCAGAGCCCGGACAUUGCUAAAGACCUAAGCCCUUUCGACAGAGGUUCAAGUCCUCUCCUUAACUCCCCACC